GGAUGCCCAGCUAAAUGUGAAUUGCAGAUAAACGACAAAUUUUUUUUUUUUAAUUCUUUUAGGAUAAGUAAAUGCACUAUUUAGGACAUACUUAUACUAAAAAAAAACUGAUUUGUUGUUUACCUGAAAAUUCAGUUUUAA
Molecule: microRNA precursor, 141 nt
Filed under: Tursiops truncatus (common bottlenose dolphin)
Lineage: Eukaryota; Metazoa; Chordata; Mammalia; Artiodactyla; Delphinidae
Description: miRNA (ENSTTRG00000025187.1)
Source: RNAcentral